AAUCAACGCUGGCGGCGUGCCUCAGACAUGCAAGUCGAACGCGAAAGUCCCCUUCGGGGGACAAGUAGAGUGGCGCACGGGUGAGUAACACGUAGGUAAUCUACCUUCGGAUGGGGAAUAACAACCGGAAACGGUUGCUAAUACCGCAUAAUGCAGCGGCACCUAAUGGUGACAGUUGUUAAAGCGGGGGAUCGAAAGACCUCGCGUCUGAAGAGGAGCCUGCGGCGGAUUAGCUAGUGGUAAGGUAAUGGCUUACCAAGGCGACGAUCCGUAGCCGGCCUGAGAGGGCGGUCGGCCACACUGACACUGACAUACGGGUCAGACUCCUACGGGAGGCAGCAGUCGGGAAUUUUGGGCAAUGGGCGAAAGCCUGACCCAGCAACGCCGCGUGAAGGAUGAAAUCCCUCGGGAUGUAAACUUCGCAAGAACGGGAAGAAUAAGUAGGGGACAAUACCCCCUAUGAUGACGGUACCGUUUGUAAG
Molecule: ribosomal RNA, 482 nt
Filed under: uncultured bacterium
Lineage: Bacteria
Description: bacterial SSU rRNA
Rfam family: Bacterial small subunit ribosomal RNA
Source: RNAcentral